This 28-nucleotide non-coding RNA is filed under the name Rattus norvegicus (Norway rat). The record is from RNAcentral. Lineage: Eukaryota; Metazoa; Chordata; Mammalia; Rodentia; Muridae.
GACCGGGCUUGCACAAAAGUUUACCUGG